GCGUUCGUGGUGUAAUGGUCAGCACACUCGGCGCGUAUUCCAGAGGUCCGAGGUUCGAUACCCGGCGAGCGCA
Molecule: transfer RNA, 73 nt
Filed under: Stegodyphus mimosarum
Lineage: Eukaryota; Metazoa; Arthropoda; Arachnida; Araneae; Eresidae
Rfam family: tRNA
About the family: Transfer RNA (tRNA) molecules are approximately 80 nucleotides in length.
Source: Rfam by way of RNAcentral